UAUGGCCAUGUCAUGUUGAAACACCAGUUCCUGUUUGAUCACCAAAGUUAAGCAAUGUCAAGUCUGGUCAAUAGUUAGAUGGGUGACCAAUUGGGAAUACCAGGUACUGUAAG
Molecule: non-coding RNA, 113 nt
Organism: Acanthosepion pharaonis
Lineage: Eukaryota; Metazoa; Mollusca; Cephalopoda; Sepiida; Sepiidae
Source: the annotation of a GenBank genome assembly